This 298-nucleotide unclassified non-coding RNA is filed under the name plant metagenome. RNAcentral's name for it is "partial contains small subunit ribosomal RNA and internal transcribed spacer 1". The stretch from base 1 to 46 matches the Rfam family "Eukaryotic small subunit ribosomal RNA", at positions 1786 to 1831 of the family's 1831-position model. The record is from RNAcentral.
AAGUCGUAACAAGGUUUCCGUAGGUGAACCUGCGGAAGGAUCAUUAACGAUUUGAAGGGGGAUCAUUCGUCUGUUGCUGGGCCUUCGGGUCACUGUGCACGAUGAGUGGUCUUCCGACUCAUCAAUCUUUACACCCUGUGAACCAUUGGUAGGGCUUGCGAAAGCGAGCUCUAUGUUUUUUUUACACACAACCAUAAUGUAUGUCACUAGAAUGUCUUUUUAUACUUUUCUCUUGGAACUAGUACGCUCGAAAGGGCCGAACGAUGCUGGAGUCAAGUUAAAAAAAUAAAUUAUACAA